AUCCAGGACCCUACAGACUCUAUGGGGCCAUGUGGGGCCAUCCAGGACCCUACAGACUCUACGGGGCUCUACAAACUCUAUGAGGCAUUACAGGUGCUAUGGGACUCUACAGAUCCUAUGGGGUCCUACAGAGCCCUAUGGGACCCUACAGAUUCCUAUGGGGCACUACAGAGCCCUAUGGGGCCCUACAGAUCCUAUGGGGCACUACAGAGCUCUGUGGGGCACUACAGAUUCUAUGGGGCACUACAGAGCCCUAUGGGACCCUACAGAUUCCUAUGGGGCCUUACAGAGCCCUAUGGCACCCUACCGAUUCCUAUGGGCACUACAGAUCCUAUGGGGCACUACAGAUCCUAUGGGGCGCUACAGAGCCCUAUGGGGCCGCUAUGGUGUCUCUGUAGGGUAGCUAUGGGGUCUCCGUGGGGCAGCUAUGGGGCUACUAUGGAGCCACUAGGGGGUCUCUAUGGGGUCUCUGUGGGGCAGCUAUGGAGCCACUAGGGGGUCACUGUGGGGUCUCUGUGGGGCCGCUAUGGGGUCUCUGUGGGGCAGCUAUGGGGCCGCUAUGGGGCAGCUAUGGGGCUCACCCGAGGCGUUGGGGUGCAGGCGCUCGUCGUUCAGUGGGGCCAGGAAGUCGCUGCUGUUGAGGUACAGGUCCCGGUGGUGGGGGUCUGUGGGGGGGGGGGACCCCAAAUCAGCCCCACGGCGACGCCCCGCACCCCCACCAUGGGGUUUGGGGGUCCCAGGGGAGGGUUUGGGGGUCCCCCCCCCGGAUAUUUUGGG
RNAcentral lists this long non-coding RNA (777 nucleotides) under Numida meleagris (helmeted guineafowl). Its description in RNAcentral is "lncRNA (ENSNMEG00000003889.1)". Lineage: Eukaryota; Metazoa; Chordata; Aves; Galliformes; Numididae. The record is from RNAcentral.